GGAGAGGUGUCAGAGUGGUCGAAUGAGCAAGCCUGGAAAGUUUGUAUACGGGCAACCGUAUCGCGGGUUCGAAUCCCGCNNAUGCCG
RNAcentral lists this transfer RNA (87 nucleotides) under Bacteroidota bacterium. RNAcentral's name for it is "Bacteroidetes bacterium (activated sludge metagenome) tRNA-Ser". It matches the Rfam family "tRNA". From Rfam's summary of the family: Transfer RNA (tRNA) molecules are approximately 80 nucleotides in length. Lineage: Bacteria; Pseudomonadati; Bacteroidota. The record is from RNAcentral.